Molecule: ribosomal RNA, 261 nt
Filed under: uncultured bacterium
Lineage: Bacteria
Description: partial 16S ribosomal RNA
Rfam family: Bacterial small subunit ribosomal RNA
Source: RNAcentral
UACGUAGGGGACCGAGCGUUGUCCGGAAUCAUUGGGCGUAAAGAGCGUGUAGGCGGCCACUUAAGUCCUGCGUGGAAAUCUUGCGGCUCAACCGCAAGCGGUCGUGGGAAACUGGGUGGCUAGAGUGCGGGGAGAGGGAAGCGGAAUUCCGGGUGUAGCGGUGAAAUGCGUAGAUAUCCGGAGGAACACCGGUGGCGAAGGCGGCUUGCCUGGACCGACACUGACGCUGAGGCGCGAAAGCCAGGGGAGCGAAACGGGAUU